UGAAAAUUUGAGUCUAACAUC
Molecule: non-coding RNA, 21 nt
Organism: Caenorhabditis elegans
Lineage: Eukaryota; Metazoa; Nematoda; Chromadorea; Rhabditida; Rhabditidae
Source: Ensembl